Molecule: ribosomal RNA, 525 nt
Filed under: uncultured Desulfomonile sp.
Lineage: Bacteria; Pseudomonadati; Thermodesulfobacteriota; Desulfomonilia; Desulfomonilales; Desulfomonilaceae
Description: bacterial SSU rRNA
Rfam family: Bacterial small subunit ribosomal RNA
Source: RNAcentral
GAGUUUGAUCCUGGCUCAGAACGAACGCUGGCGGCGUGCCUAACACAUGCAAGUCGCACGAGAAACACAUCCUUCGGGGUGUGGAGUAAAGUGGCGCACGGGUGAGUAACACGUGGGUAACCUGCCCUUGGAACCGGGAUAACUGGCCGAAAGGCCCGCUAAUACCGGAUAAGACCACAUAAGCUUCGGCUUAUGCGGCCAAAGUCGGCCUCUCGAAGAAGCCGGCGUCUGAGGAUGGGCCCGCGGACCAUUAGCUAGUUGGUGGAGUAACGGUUCACCAAGGCUGAGAUGGUUAGCUGGUCUGAGAGGAUGAUCAGCCACACUGGAACUGAGAUACGGUCCAGACUCCUACGGGAGGCAGCAGUGAGGAAUAUUGCGCAAUGGAGGAAACUCUGACGCAGCAACGCCGCGUGGGUGAAGAAGGCUUUCGGGUUGUAAAGCCCUGUCAGGUGGGAAGAAACCUCUUUGAGUAAAUAGCUCAAGGAACUGACGGUACCACCAAAGGAAGCACCGGCUAACUCCGUG